GACGAACGCUGGCGGCGUGCCUAAUACAUGCAAGUCGAACGAAGCUGUUUUAACUGGUGCUUGCACCGACUUAAACAACUGAGUGGCGAACGGGUGAGUAACACGUGGGUAACCUGCCCCAAAGCGGGGGAUAACAUUUGGAAACAGAUGCUAAUACCGCAUAACCACAGAAACCACAUGGUUUCUGUGUCAAAGAUGGUUUCGGCUAUCACUUUGGGAUGGACCCGCGGCGUAUUAGCUAGUUGGUAAGGUAAUGGCUUACCAAGGCAAUGAGACGUAACGGAACUGAGAGGUUGGUCGGCCACAUUGGGACUGAGACACGGCCCAAACUCCUACGGGAGGCAGCAGUAGGGAAUCUUCCACAAUGGACGAAAGUCUGAUGGAGCAGCGCCGCGUGAGUGAAGAAGGUUUUCGGAUCGUAAAACUCUGUUGUCAGAGAAGAACGUGUGCGAGAGUAACUGCUCGUGCAGUGACGGUAUCUGGCCAGAAAGCCACGGCUAACUACGUGCCAGCCGCCGCCGUAA
This 524-nucleotide ribosomal RNA is filed under the name uncultured bacterium. RNAcentral describes it as "partial 16S ribosomal RNA". It matches the Rfam family "Bacterial small subunit ribosomal RNA", at positions 28 to 523 of the family's 1533-position model. The record is from RNAcentral.